GCGAGACAGGGGUUUCUUCCGACGAGCUUAUCUCUCUGCUCACGCGUCCGAAUUCCACGAUUCCAAUUGCUAUGAGACCGUGCUCCAAUGCUCUCCAACUUCUAUGAAGGACCCGCCGUCUGAAUCGGACCGGAAGGCUCCCCGGACAGGCGAUUUCUGAGACUCGUUCACACCCGGAGAUUUUGGCCGAUACACUUCAUUCGCGGUACGUGAAAAUGGCCGGUAAAGCUUCCCGCGGUACAUGAAAAUGGCCGGUAAAAC
This 261-nucleotide long non-coding RNA is filed under the name Eutrema salsugineum. Its description in RNAcentral is "long non-coding RNA (ESAL_LNC000970)". The record is from RNAcentral. Lineage: Eukaryota; Viridiplantae; Streptophyta; Magnoliopsida; Brassicales; Brassicaceae.